GAGGGCAUAGCUCAGUGGUAGAGUGUGUGUGCUCAGCAUGCAUGAAGUCCUGGGUUCAAUCCCCAGUACUUCCA
This 74-nucleotide transfer RNA is filed under the name Camelus bactrianus (Bactrian camel). It matches the Rfam family "tRNA". Rfam says of the family: Transfer RNA (tRNA) molecules are approximately 80 nucleotides in length. Their secondary structure includes four short double-helical elements and three loops (D, anti-codon, and T loops). RNAcentral also lists the same sequence under 3 other names. Lineage: Eukaryota; Metazoa; Chordata; Mammalia; Artiodactyla; Camelidae. The record is from Rfam by way of RNAcentral.